ACUCCUACGGGAGGCAGCAGUGGGGAAUAUUGCACAAUGGGCGCAAGCCUGAUGCAGCCAUGCCGCGUGUAUGAAGAAGGCCUUCGGGUUGUAAAGUACUUUCAGCAGUGAGGAAGGUGGAGUCGUUAAUAGCGGCCUCAUUGACGUUUAGCUGCAGAAGAAGACACCGGCGUAACUCCGUGCCAGCAGCCGCGGUAAUACGGAGGGUGCGAGCGUUAAUCGGAAUUACUGGGCGUAAAGCGCAUGCAGGUGGUUUGUUAAGUCAGAUGUGAAAGCCCGGGGCUCAACCUCGGAAUUGCAUUUGAAACUGGCAGACUAGAGUACUGUAGAGGGGGGUAGAAUUUCAGGUGUAGCGGUGAAAUGCGUAGAGAUCUGAAGGAAUACCGGUGGCGAAGGCGGCCCCCUGGACAGAUACUGACACUCAGAUGCGAAAGCGUGGGGAGCAAACAGGAUUAGAUACCCUGGUAGGAUAGCGU
RNAcentral lists this ribosomal RNA (476 nucleotides) under uncultured bacterium. RNAcentral's name for it is "bacterial SSU rRNA". It matches the Rfam family "Bacterial small subunit ribosomal RNA", at positions 335 to 800 of the family's 1533-position model. The record is from RNAcentral.